Molecule: long non-coding RNA, 1014 nt
Filed under: Apteryx haastii (Great spotted kiwi)
Lineage: Eukaryota; Metazoa; Chordata; Aves; Apterygiformes; Apterygidae
Description: lncRNA (ENSAHAG00000004673.1)
Source: RNAcentral
AUGCCCGAUGAAGGCUUCAAGACAAGAAGUCACAUAGAAAAUGCCUUUUGUCCGGCGACACAACCUGCUUUUUUGGUUCGAGAGCCCAAGAUAAUCAGAGCUGCGAAGCGCUACCUUAACGCUCUUGCACCGGCCAGCGACUUAGCUCUGGGGAGAAUAACUCCCCGCCGUUGUUGCUCUAAAGCCCCGCGACCGUUCAGGGAAGCCUUUUCCCUCGCCGACCCCUCGGGGACCACCCAGGCUCGGGGAGAACAAAGCAGCGAGGAGCCGCGCGGGCAGGGGGCAUCACGGACCGAGCCGGGGGCACCCGGCUUUCAGGAUGCUUCGGGGACACCUUUGCACUGCCCCGGGUGGGAGAAGACCGGCGCGUGGUUUUUUUGGGCUCUUGUCCUGCCCGGCUCGUUCAACAUCUUAUUAAAAUCUGGAUACAUAAAGGCACCUGGAUGCUGGAGGCUGUCAUCUCGGGGAGGGGGGGGACCCUUUUUACCCCCCUCCCUUUUCCCCUGGAUCAGGUCACGCUCAGACAUCGGCUCCCUGACCCACGAUAACAGCAGCUGUCUAGAAACUCAAAUUAACUUGGCCGGGAACAAAACCGUCCCGGAGGAGAGCGCAGAUGCCUUUAACCYGGGGGGGCUGCACGGUCCCAGAUCAAUGUCUGCAUUGUGCCUUAUCUCGAAGCGGGGACACCCGGGACGGGCACCGCUGCGACGUCCCCCYGGCUCCGCCUUUAUAGGGGCAAUCUGGAGGCCUGGAUGUUUUUUAGGAUGGAGCAAUGCUCUAGCGCAAUACGUUUCCGUGGCACAGGCACAGGCAGGGGCUGGACGGCCGCAGAGGCUCUCCUUCUCCGCAGGGGGAAGCCAGCUCAGUCCGUCCCCARCCAGCAUUUUUCCACACCCUCCUGCCACCAUUGAAUUUGGCCAAAAUGAGCUUCCUACAGACCAAAAAAUCUACAGCUACGGAGGGGAGASAUACACACACACAAACUGCAUAGGUUUCCUUGGCUUAGGAAACUAA